GCCUCCCAGAGGAGGCAUUGAAGGUGUAGCUGCUGUGUCGCAUGUGUUAUCAAUAAGUGGUGAAGAGGAGAGAGGCUAGUCUAUGGUCAGUGUUCUGACCUGUGAACAUCUGAAUGAUUAGUAACCUAACACU
Molecule: small nucleolar RNA, 133 nt
Organism: Mastomys coucha (southern multimammate mouse)
Lineage: Eukaryota; Metazoa; Chordata; Mammalia; Rodentia; Muridae
Product: small nucleolar RNA SNORA17
Exons: 1
Source: RefSeq, a predicted model, not a curated record